CAAAUGUGAAAGAGAUGUAAAAAACAAAAAACAAAAAAAACAAAAAAAAAAAACACUAUUUUCCCCUACGAAACAUACUGUAUAUUUCGAAAGAAGAAAAGUUAAAAGAUAUUUGAAGAUUGCAGGGGCAAAACAAAAACCUACCAGGGCUCAGCACUUAAGCACUUUUCCACAUCCAGGGUCAAAGCAGCAGUGACUACAUGGACUUUUAAGUGCGGUAUGAAAUGCAACAUUACACUUACAAACAGUACUGUCAAACCUCAAAUGCUUUAUUUCUUCAGAUGCUUUUUCGUGCACAUGAUACUAGUAGACACUUUUCUCUUUAUAUUUACUGAUAGUGAAAAUCAUACGCAAUAAAAUAUUGAUGUUUGAAGGCAGUGGUCACCAAUUGGUUAAAAAAAACUAUGAAAUGUAAACUGAAUUGUUAUAUCUCUAUCCUUUUUGCUUUUCUCUGUGUUUUUAAUGUAUUGAAUAAAUCUCAUAAAUAGAAAGAACAAAAAUCUAGAAAUUUUUCAAAGCUAGUACUCUUUCUCCUUAUAAAUGUAUACAAUUUUAAUCUUUUUUCAAAUUUAUUUAACUGUACCUACUGUACUUAUUGUAGAUUCUAUGAUGCAGUCAAGUCAUAACCCAAGGAUUUAUGAAUUUGAGAUUACUGACCUGUUUUCUUCAUAUUGCAUUCACAUCAAUAUUGGUGAAUUUGUUGUUUAGCUUUUCAUUCAACCAAAAAAUACUCCCUCAAGAAAGCUCCAUUUUUAUCAUAAACAUUUCAACACAAACAACAUUAGAACAAGUCUGCCAUGCUAAAAAUAAUUUAAAGACUUAUCUCUGAAAAUGGUAUCCAGAAACGCAGGUGUUCCCAGUAAUGCAGCUUCAAAAAUAAAAUGUGCUAUUUAUGACAUGAAAUUCAUAACUUUUGGAAGGGUAUAUUUAUGACAGCAUAAAAAAUAAAUUCUGUGCUAUAAAGAAGAUCCAACAAAAUUAACCAUAUAAGCACAGAAAAUGGAGAAACAUAGUUACUGAAUCUACUCUUGUCAUUAACAUUUUCAAAAAACAAAAUGCAUAUUGUAAUAUUAGGUACAUGACACUUGCAUGUUGAUAUGCCUAUAUACUUACAAAGUAUUCAAUGUGUACUUAGCGGCGUUUAAAGUAUGUCAUGUACAACUCUUAUAAACAUUUUUACAGGGUUCCCAUUUGCACUUCAUUUUUCAGUAUAGUCUUGUCAGAAAAAAAAUUGUCCGAUAAAUAUGGAAAAAUAAAAUUUGAAUUUUAGUUAUCUGUUGGACAUUACUGAAUUGUCUAUUCAUUUAGUACAUUUCUUAACCUUGAAAACAGACAUUGAAAGAUGGAACUUUCUUUUUUCCAGGGACAGGUCAUUAAAAUGAUGGUACAAAACAUUCUUUACUCCAAAAACAUUAUUUUGAAUACCUUUUAUUCAACUGCAUACAUUAUCCAUCCAUUUUAGUUUUCCUCGAUGACGCCCAUUUUACUUGUAAAUUUCUAAAUGGAGGUUUUAAAAAUUAAGCAUCAGUAAAAUAAAUGUUAUCUAAUUUGUACAACAUUUAAUCAAUAUUCCUUGGAAUAUAUGAACCUUGUAAUACGAUGACUAAGGGUUAAAAAAAAAUGUUGCUGACUUAGGGAAAUUUGCUUGAGAUUGCCAAAAUUUUGAAACUCUGUAAAGGUAAUUUUACAUUCACUUACGUGUGUUUACUAAUGUUGAGUAGGAACAGAAGCAAAAAUACCUAAACCUAUUUUUUUUAACCUUCACACUCUAACCAGUAUUAUAUAUUUCAGCUACCUAAGAUAAUGCAAUUAAUCAUAUAUCCAACCUAAGCUUCUGCCAAUAAGGAUUUCAGAUAAGCUUUUAAAUUUAUGGAGGAUUUUCUUUGUGUCUUUGGAAGUUCACUUACCAUAAAGUAUUUUAUAGUCUACUUUAAAUAACAGAUUUUGUUAUACAGGGUAAGCCAAAGGCUGUACAAGACUUAGUGUCAUUGGGUCUCAUAUUUGUGUUAGACCAUGAAAUAUUCCAUUAAAAUUUAUCUGUAA
Molecule: long non-coding RNA, 2043 nt
Organism: Macaca fascicularis (crab-eating macaque)
Lineage: Eukaryota; Metazoa; Chordata; Mammalia; Primates; Cercopithecidae
Source: Ensembl